CCUACGGGAGGCAGCAGUAGGGAAUCUUUCACAAUGGGCGAAAGCCUGAUGGAGCAACGCCGCGUGCAGGAUGAAGGCUUUCGGGUUGUAAACUGCUUUUAUAAGCGAGAAAUAUGAUGGUAACUUAUGAAUAAGGAUCGGCUAACUACGUGCCAGCAGCCGCGGUCAUACGUAGGAUCCGAGCAUUAUCCGGAGUGACUGGGUGUAAAGAGUUGCGUAGGUGGCAUAAUAAGUAGCUAGUGAAAUCUGGUGGCUCAACCAUUCAGACUAUUAGCUAAACUGUUAAGCUCGAGACCGUUAGGGGUAACUGGAAUUUCUAGUGUAGGGGUGAAAUCCGUAGAUAUUAGAAGGAACACCAAUAGCGUAAGCAGGUUGCUGGGACGGUUCUGACACUAAGGCACGAAAGCGUAGGGAGCAAACGGGAUUAGAUACCCCAGUAGUC
Molecule: ribosomal RNA, 442 nt
Filed under: uncultured bacterium
Lineage: Bacteria
Description: partial 16S ribosomal RNA
Rfam family: Bacterial small subunit ribosomal RNA
Source: RNAcentral